Molecule: ribosomal RNA, 497 nt
Filed under: uncultured bacterium
Lineage: Bacteria
Description: partial 16S ribosomal RNA
Rfam family: Bacterial small subunit ribosomal RNA
Source: RNAcentral
GAUGAACGCUGGCGGCGUGCCUAAUACAUGCAAGUCGAGCGAACAGACGAGGAGCUUGCUCCUCUGACGUUAGCGGCGGACGGGUGAGUAACACGUGGAUAACCUACCUAUAAGACUGGGAUAACUUCGGGAAACCGGAGCUAAUACCGGAUAAUAUAUUGAACCGCAUGGUUCAAUAGUGAAAGACGGUUUUGCUGUCACUUAUAGAUGGAUCCGCGCCGCAUUAGCUAGUUGGUAAGGUAACGGCUUACCAAGGCGACGAUGCGUAGCCGACCUGAGAGGGUGAUCGGCCACAUUGGAAGUGAGACACGGUCCAGACUCCUACGGGAGGCAGCAGUAGGGAAUCUUCCGCAAUGGGCGGAAGUUUGACGGAGCAACGCCGCGUGAGUGAUGAAGGUCUUCGGAUCGUAAAACUCUGUUAUUAGGGAAGAACAAAUGUGUAAGUAACUAUGCACGUCUUGACGGUACCUAAUCAGAAAGCCACGGCUAACUACGUG